GAUGAACGCUGGCGGCGUGCCUAAUACAUGCAAGUCGAGCGAACGGACGAGAAGCUUGCUUCUCUGAUGUUAGCGGCGGACGGGUGAGUAACACGUGGAUAACCUACCUAUAAGACUGGGAUAACUUCGGGAAACCGGAGCUAAUACCGGAUAAUAUUUUGAACCGCAUGGUUCAAAAGUGAAAGACGGUCUUGCUGUCACUUAUAGAUGGAUCCGCGCUGCAUUAGCUAGUUGGUAAGGUAACGGCUUACCAAGGCAACGAUGCAUAGCCGACCUGAGAGGGUGAUCGGCCACACUGGAACAGAGACACGGUCCAGACUCCUACGGGAGGCAGCAGUAGGGAAUCUUCCGCGAUGGGCGAAAGCCUGACGGAGCAACGCCGCGUGAGUGAUGAAGGUCUUCGGAUCGUAAAACUCUGUUAUUAGGGAAGAACAUAUGUGUAAGUAACUGUGCACAUCUUGACGGUACCUAAUCAGAAAGCCACGGCUAACUACGUG
Molecule: ribosomal RNA, 497 nt
Filed under: uncultured bacterium
Lineage: Bacteria
Description: partial 16S ribosomal RNA
Rfam family: Bacterial small subunit ribosomal RNA
Source: RNAcentral